RNAcentral lists this long non-coding RNA (8735 nucleotides) under Populus tremula. Its description in RNAcentral is "long non-coding RNA (PTRE_LNC000643)". Lineage: Eukaryota; Viridiplantae; Streptophyta; Magnoliopsida; Malpighiales; Salicaceae. The record is from RNAcentral.
UCUUCUCCUCCUCCGUUUCAGGUGGUGAAGGCAGGUCUGACGGCGGCUGUGUUGCUGCUGGUGUUCGGCGAGCCGGUCGCUGCUACUGGAGGCCGAAUGAAGGGGGGGACUUGCGUUGCGAGAGGGUGGCCGGCUUCGGUGAAGGCCUGUCGAGGCUGGCUUCGGGUUCGUCAGGUGGAGAAGCUGGGAGACUGCGGCGGAGGGGAGAAGGAGCGGCGGCUCUGUGCAGGCCGAGAGGGAAGAUGACGGGGAGAUAGGGACUGCUGGAGGCGACCGGAGGAGAAGAAACCCACGGGUCCAAGCUGGGGAAGCAGCAAUCGUCUUCAACAGGAAGCGCCGGAGCUGCGGGUUGAUUUGGGUGGAGGCGCUGCUAUUGAGAGGAGAAGAAGACGCUGCUGAGGAAGGGGGUUUCGGCUGGAUCUGCUGGUGAGGGAGAAAGGAUAAUCCGGGUGCUUUGGGGGGCUGUUUGGCCGGUUUCCAAAGAAAAAAAAUUCAAUUCGGGUGAGGGGCUGUGUGGGGGAGAAAAAAAUGAAUUGGCUCCGGCGGCUGGGAAAAAAUUCAAACCAGAGGGGGGGGGGCGGCUGCUCUUCAAAAAAGAGAUUAGGUUUAGGUUUUUUGUAUAUUUUUUGUGUUUCCAAAAUUAACCCCCCCACUUGAAUGUGUUGAGGAAACCAGUAUUUAUAGGCAAAAUGUUGCUAGGUUUUUCAACUUGGUCCCUCAACUUCUUUCUUUUUUUGUAAAUUUUUAUUUUUCUUAUUUUUUUGUAUUUUUUGAAAACGAGCAAUAUCAACGUCGACUUAAAUGCGGAAAAUCAAUGAUUUAAAAAUGACGCGUGAAACGUCGAACGCGUUUUAAAAUCUUUUAACAAUUUAAAUUUCUUUUUAAACUACGUUGAAAAUGCUAAAAUGACGAAAAUAUAUUAAAAACAUAUUUUUUUGGAUUUUCAUUGUUUUUCUCUAUUUUUGGAUUUUUUUGAAAAUAUAUCAAAACAUGGGUCAAAAAUUGGGUAGCAACAGAUGCCCCCUCUUUACAAUGCUUACGAAGCAAAACUCUUCAAAAUUUUGCAUAGUAAGCUUUGUAAAGAAAACAAAAGGAAAAUGAUUUCAUUAUCUUGGGCGACCUGCCCACACAUACUCACUCAAGUCUAUUUUCACGGGCGACCGACCCACACUCUCCCAAUAGUCUAUUUUCACGGGCGACCUGCCCACACAUUGGGUUUACCUGAGAUCCCAUCUGGCGACCUCAUUCAACUGGAAUGAAAAUAUGUGUAACUCGGUUAACCUGAAAUCCCAUCUGGCGAUUCCCUUUAACCAAAGCUACAUGAGAUCCCAUCUGGCGACCUCCUUCUGGUCUCAUUGUACGGGUGACUAACCCUCGAAAAAUGCUGGUCUCAUUAUACGGGUGACGAACCCUAGUGCUGCUGGUCUCAUUGUACGGGUGACGAACCCUAGUGCUGGUCUCAUUGUACGGGUGACGAACCCUAGUGCUGGUCUCAUUGUACGGGUGACGAACCCUAGAAAAAUGUUGGUCUCAUUGUACGGGUGACGAACCCUAGAAAUAUGAUGGUCUCAUUGUAUGGGUGACGAACCCAGAAAAAAGAUGGUCUCAUUGUAUGGGUGACGAACCCCGGAAAUAUGAUGGUCUCAUUGUAUGGGUGACGAACCCAGGAAAAAUGAUGGUCUCAUUGUAUGGGUGACGAACCCAGAUGGAAAAAAUAUGAUGAAGUGCGGUCUCAUUGUCAUGGGUGACCUACCCGGAUGGAAAAAAAUGUGAAAAACGGUCUUAUUAUGAUGGGCGACCUACCCAAAUGGAAAGAAUGUGAACAAAAAUGGUCUCAUUAUGAUGGGUGACCUACCCAUAUGGAAAGAAUGUGAUAUGACAAGUGUGAAAAAUAGGGCUUACCUGGCGAAGUUCUGAAGGGAUGACAGAAGAAAGGGCUGAAAGACUUGGUGCUUCUUGAUAAUUCCCGAUCAUGGGGUUUGAAAACUCGUGUUUCCUGACUGCAAGGGUUGAAAACUCGAGGCUUCCCGGUUGCAAGGUUGAUCUAUUCAUUUCUUUGGGAUUUUCCUAAUGGUAGGGUUCAUCCCAUCGUCCUUUUAUUCCAUGAUCAAAACCGAUUCUUUAUUAUCAUCACCACAAUGCUUCUUUCUCUUUCCACCAUCUUGCUGGACCUCAUUAAGGAUUUUCCUGUAACAAUUCAAAAAUAUGUGCAAAUGGUUUUUUUUUUUUUUUUUUUUUUUUUGAGGUUAGAUGAUAUGCAUGCAUCCUUACCUGAUUUGAAAUAAUAGGUCCCCCCUCUUUGAUGCUCCAUCGUCAUAGGGUGCCCUUGUUUGUAUCCCAAAGCUUUCUUUGUUUUUCCGAUGUAUUGGCUCAUUCAUGUGUUAGCCAUCCACUCAGCUGUAAAUGCAGUGCCCAUCCCGGGCUGUCUUCGACAAUUACUGCUUGCAUCGUUCAUGAAGCUUGACCCUGCCCCCAAGUGUAGUACUGCUUGAUUCAUCAUGAGAGAUUUUCUCUCCUGGCUUCUUCUGAGAAAUUAUCCUCUGAUGCAUCAUGCCAACACCCAUCACGUUUGUUAAUCAGUCAUGAACUUGCCUUCGGUUGAAACACCAUUGUUGUAUGGUCACCAGCCUUCAUGGAACUGCCAAGUCAUCCAGACAUGUAUCUCAUGCUUUGCAGUAAACAGCUCAUCAUUGUAAGCGCGAUGUAUUUCUCUAUGGAUUCCUCUUAGCUUGUCAAAUCAUGAAAAUACCUGCUUUGGCAUCAUCAAUGAUGUUCAUGUUAUCACCCAUAUUCAUGCGGUGAAGUGCGCAUUUGAGCUUCAGAAUAGAUGUCCCACAAUCAGUCUUCGGUGCCUUUCCAACAUUCAUUCAGUGCAGUUGUGUGAUAACAUCUGUCUAUAACCAUGUUUCAAAGAAUGACAAUAUGAGAAGUCCUUUAAGUGCAGCAUUGUUCCACAGUCAGUCUUGGUGGUAUGCAUCUUUUCCAUUCAAUUACAUUCAUCUGUGUAUCUCAUCGAUUGCUAGCCAUGUUUCAAAAAUGAUGAUAGGAAAGUGCCCUUCAGGUACGUUUUUGUUUCUCCAUUGCCGACAGGAUUCACUAAAGCAUGGGCCAUUUUGGAAUGACAUUGCCCCCAGUAUGAUCCGAGUGUGCUCGUUCAUUGAUUAUCUGUCUUUGAACAUCAUUGUCUUCAGUUCACUAAUUCAUCAUUUAAUCAUUGCCUCAUAGCUGAUCUGAGCACUGCUUGUUUUUCCUUUUCAAGGUCUACUGUAUUGCCCCCAGCUGCUCAACUUUUCAAGGAGUGUCGAGGACUUCAAUGUCAUUUCUAUCAACGAUUUUGCAUACUCAAUCAAUGUUCUUCUGUGUUUGAUAAUCUUCCUUGUUCUGGAAUCAACUCUCAUAUUUCAAAGAUCAUGUCUAUUCAAAGUCUAGUUUGUUGAAAUAAAAUCGGAGAUGUCUUUUUUUGAAAAUCAAGCUUUUUGAUCAAAGGCCCAACACAUUUUAUUCGAAAUAUAUAGUCCUUUGAUUGUCAUGCAUUUUGAAAACAGAAAUUGACCCAAUGUAGGAUUAAAAAUGGCUUUUCCAUGGUUCUUUGUAUCAAUUUGAAUCCUUGAUAUUAGGUAUAUCAUUUGAUAGUUUAUGGUGAGGUGACCUUCUGUGAAUUUCAAGGAAAACAACAGGCUCAAGUCAAAACUUGAGGAUUCAUGAAGGAAAAAUGUUUUGUUUUUAGCAAUAAUUUUAUCAACAUGCAUAACGACCGGUAACUUAAUUCAUGAAGUCACGACUCUUAUGGAAAAACUCUUCAAGUUUUGAGAGCGCCAUUUAUCGGUUCAAGUUGCUUGCUUGAUUAAAAAGGGCUUUUAAAAAAGCAUGUAAUGCAGGCUAUGGUUCAUGGCUAUGAAAGAAAGGAAUUUCACAGGCUCAAAAGGUGUUUGAGGGUUUCAAAGACCUAGGAUCAACAUCAACUAUUCAUCAACUUGUUUUCUAUUGUUGUCUUUAUAGAGGAAACGACAUAUAACCUUGUUAACCUCAAAGUUCCGACUUUUCUUAACAUAAGUCAUAAUGCAAAUCCAACUUUCUUUGAGGAAUAACCAACCUUAAUCAUCUGAUAACAUCAUAGGUUUUAUAACGGAUACCAAAAGUCAACGCUUAUAGCUUAGUCUUUUUUCUGGUAUUGACUUUUGUUGUGCCUUUCCUUGAUUGAAAUUUCUUUUGCUCUUCAUAGACUUGAUAGGCGUUCUCCUUCCUUUAUCUUUGACUUGUAUUUAAGUGAAGGCAAUUUCAACUUCCUUUUUUCAUUCUCUUUUUUUUUUUUCAUAGCCUUCCUCAAAAUUUUCUUAUAUGCCCCCAGUCUAUGUGUUUUCUUUUAGCUCUCUCUCAAUCAUUGGACCUUUGUUCUAAGCCUUCCCCUUUAUCCAUUAAUUAUAUCAAUGUCUCCAAAAUAUCUCUCAUUUGCCCCCAGUGUGGGGUGUGAUCCUAGUCAGGGUUUCUUUUUUUGAAAGAAAAUAUUUUACCAGGCUCAAAAUGGGACUGCAAGGGAUAUAAUCUUUAGAAAGUGAAGGGAUAUCAAAGAUGGCCUUUUCUCAUUUCAAGCAAGGUCGGUUAGAACCGAUAAAUUUUGACCUCAUCCAGUGUAAUGAUUGGGACUUGUAAGAAUCAUGAUUCACGAGUCCAUAACUACCGAAUCCACUACAUGUCAUUAUGCAUACUGUUAAAACUUAGCUAUAUGAUGUGUGGUUCAGUUUCAGGAGGUAUGAGUUCAAAAUUGUUUGGUCACCUCAUGUCAUUUUCAAGCAUAGAGUCAUUUCUGUAAUCAAAACACUUUUAAUCUUCCGGAUUGAUUAACCUUUAUCGCAUGUUGGAGUUUGAUCAAAAUAUUUUGUCAGAAUAAAAUGCUAAACAUCUGUUGAUUUCAAAACAACAAAGAGACAAAAGCAAGGCAUGUUUCGUUGAAGGAUGAGAUGUGAUCCCAAAACAAAAUGCAGAAUUCCAUAACAAUAUGAUUGACUGUUCAUCACCAUUCUCGAAUCAGCUUUUCUGGCAAUAUCUGUGUUUUGCAAAGCAUUUUCGAUCACAUGUGAUUCUGAAGUUGUUCGAGGAACAAUAUAGCCAGUGACACCCUUUUUCGACGACUCCACUUGUCUCUUGCUCACCAACUUUCAGACUCGCUUCUCGAAAUUCUUGCAAUUGCUCAAUUGAAAUGGUUGAGGACCUCAUCAUGACAUCAUAUCUCUUGUCUGGAUUAAACCACCCAGAAAAUGGUGGUUGCAUAGGAUUUGUCGGAGUCAAGCAAAAUUCUGGAAUCUGGCAGAUGCUGGUCGACAAACUUAAAUGGCAGAGGAAUGUCCCAUCUUGGCAAAGAUAUUUGAGCAAUUGAUGCUACCGUGAGACCUGGCUAUACCACAUAAUUAAGGGCUCACACCGUCAAAGUCAUCUCCUGAUUCACCUCUCAUCAUUGUUCUAGAAUCCAUGGCAGAUCCUUCAAUCUUUCUCUCUUCAUAGCUUGUUCAAUUCUUCGGCAAAUCCUCAUAACAUUAUUUCAAACUUCCAAUGUUGCUAGGGUUGGUUGAGGAUUGUUAGAAAACUUUCUAACAGCUUGGUAAUCUUGGCAGCGCCUAAAAACUUGUAGUAUCACCCCUACCAACACGUGGAAUCAUGCCUUAUCUCUUAUAUGGGAGAAAACGAUGAACAUGAAUCUCCGCUAUUUCUUCUUUGAUUCCUUUCAAACGGUGCAACAAACAAGCACCAAUAUAUGGAGUUCUGCUCUGUUGAAGUUUCAGUCUUCUUCAUGUUUUUCAGUCUAGGCAUGUCUCUUCUCUCUACUCUUGCAUUUUAAUACUGACACUGUUGGAGGAAAAUCAUAGUUGAUCUGAAACUACUAUAUUCCUUCUUGGAUUUCCCACUUACGAAUCUACAAAUAGAUUCCUGCCGAAAGAGCUCUGCUACGUUGAAAUUUGAAGUCUGCUCGUAUUUUUCAGACCAGGUCUGGAUCUUCAAUGUACUAAGAUGUUUCCGUGCUGAAACUGAUGAGAGAAAUAUUUGUAGCAUAUGCAAUUAGUAAAUCCCCUCUUGCACUCUCAACUUGCAGCAUCAUCAAUAGAUUUUUGUAAAGAGAGCUCUGCCACGUUGAAGUUUGACGACUACUCAUAUUUUCAGACGAGGCUUGACUCCUCUGUCUACUACAAAGUUUUGCUCGUGCCACAUGUAGAAAUUCAGUGUCUAAUCGUGGUUUUUCAGACCAACAUCUUGUGCUGCUGAAAUGGAAUUAAGCUCAUAAUUAGGGCAGCUUCCAAGAAGACUAAUGCGCCAUGUACAGGAGACCGGUAGUUGUUUGGUUCCAUUAGAUGACGUGGAGGCGAUGAACACUUAACAGUGCAACUGGACAAGAAUCAGAAUUGUAACAGUGCAACUGAACAAGAAUCAGAAUUGUAACAGUGCAACUGAACAAGAAUCAGAGUUGUCAUUAGUUGAUGACUGAAGGCAUUGUUGUUGUUAUUCAUGAUUGAAAAUGAGAGGUACAACUUCAAUUGAAUGUGAACAAACAGUGUUCCCACAGAAGACUGUGUAGACAUUCUUUUUCCAUUUGAUGCUCAACACUUGUUCGAGCAGAUCUGAGUCUAGUUGUUUCACCUUUGAUGCUCUCAACCUUAAUCUGAUAAUGAGCCCCAAUUUGACACCUUUCUUCACUUCCCUCAUCUUUCUUCAAUCACGUGCAGCACAGCUUGCGCGGGUGACCUUCCUUUCAACCCGGUACAUGCAUGAUAAAUGUAUGAACAUGUAAUCUAUAUGAUGAACUCUUCCUUCGAGAGGUGACAAUAUGGUCGUAACUCUUGUAUGAUGGACAAGAAUCGUGAUUUUUGCCCAAACUCUACAAUGAAAAUUUUCGGAGCAACGGCCAAUGUGUCACCCACAAGUCUUGAGUUCAAGAUGCUUCAAGAAGGGUUUGCCCUUAUGCAAAAAACGAUAGCACAUACAACCUAAGGACAGGUUCUAUUCAUUAUGUGAACAUGGGUAAGUUUUCUAUCUGGUCUCAAAAGGGUCUCAUAUCUGCCCAGUGACGUUCUUCGUAAAGACAGUUUGGGGGCGUUGCAAGGAAUGGUUAAGGUACGUAUACCCACCAUUACCAAGCAGGCACUCAGAUAUGAGUUGGGUGUUCCACGCAUCUGAACCCUGACCAAUAGUCUUAGGGCAGAUCGCUAGUUCCCCACCUAACCUAGAAGCUUGUGUGUGCUUUUAAAAAUAAAUACAAGUGAUGCAUGAGACAAUUCUAUAAAAUGCAUGGAAAUAAAUAUUAACCAAAAAGAUAAAAAUGCAAAAACUUAAACACAUCAAUUACACAAAGCUUAGUCCAAUAAUCGAAAAAAUAACCUUCCCCAGUGGAGUCGCCAUUCUGUCGCACCCCAAAAAAAUCAGCGCGCGGCAUCGGCUGGCGAUUUAAAUCUCGUUUAUUGCGUUUGCUUGAAUUUGGUUCGUUGGAGUCGCCACCUAGUAAUUGAUUUCGGGCUACUAGGAAACCGGAUGUACUGGUCUUGUUAGAGAUUUACGGGUAAGGGACUGGUUGUGGUUAGGGAAGGUAUUAGCACCCCUAACGCACCCUACCUGAGGUAAGCUGCUUCGUGGCUUUGACGUGUUAAAGAAGUUUUAAUAAUUGUCUUUUCUUCGGAAAUUAGAAAUAUCACUUACGUAUAAGUUAAUAAUUCUUAACCGUGAUCCGAUCAAAAUAUUAAAUUCUUCUUUAAUAUAUUUUGCAAUUUUAUCAUUAAAAAAAAUAUGUACAAAUAAAUAAAACAAAAAUACAAGCACACACAUGCACUUUCACUAUUUUAUUUUUGUUUCUUUCCUUUUCUUUUUCUUUUCUUUUCUUUUUCUUUUCUUUUACAUCCAUAUUUACAAAAUACAAAUUACAAAAAAACUCAAAACUAAAUAAAAUAUUACAUUAAAACAAUUUGGAAAUUACAAAAUGAACCAAAACAUUCCGGACCAGUACUGGAAACCUCUAACUCGCCGGAACAGUGUUGUGAAGCCGCUGGGACAGCAGUGGCAGUGGUGGCGCGUGGAUCUCACGCACCCCGCCACUGGCGGCGCGUGGAUCCACGCGCCACCGUGAAAACAAGGCGAAAACAGGGGGGUCUGCAACGACCUCCUCCCUCCUUCUUUCCUCGCCGGCGCCAACCUGCAGAUCAAUCAAAGAACAACACAGCAGUCGAUUUUAAUUUGUUUGUUUCAUUUCUUAGAUCUGUUUUUUUUGCAGAUCUGCGUCUGGUUGCAGAUCCGGUGAUGCCCAGCUGCGGUGGUGGGUGUCUUCUCCUCCUCCGUUUCAGGUGGUGAAGGCAGGUCUGACGGCGGCUGUGUUGCUGCUGGUGUUCGGCGAGCCGGUCGCUGCUACUGGAGGCCGAAUGAAGGGGGGGACUUGCGUUGCGAGAGGGUGGCCGGCUUCGGUGAAGGCCUGUCGAGGCUGGCUUCGGGUUCGUCAGGUGGAGAAGCUGGGAGACUGCGGCGGAGGGAGAAGGAGGCGGCUCUGUGCAGGCCGAGAGGGAAGAUGACGGGGAGAUAGGGACUGCUGGAGGCGACCGGAGGAGAAGAAACCCACGGGUCCAAGCUGGGGAAGCAACAAUCGUCUUCAACAGGAAGCGCCGGAGCUGCGGGUUGAUUUGGGUGGAGGCGCUGCUAUUGAGAGGAGAAGAAGACGCUGCUGAGGAAGGGGGUUUCGGCUGGAUCUGCUGGUGAGGGAGAAAGGA